This 459-nucleotide ribosomal RNA is filed under the name uncultured Cyphellophora. RNAcentral's name for it is "SSU rRNA". It matches the Rfam family "Eukaryotic small subunit ribosomal RNA", at positions 624 to 1088 of the family's 1831-position model. Lineage: Eukaryota; Fungi; Ascomycota; Eurotiomycetes; Chaetothyriales; Herpotrichiellaceae. The record is from RNAcentral.
AAGCUCGUAGUUGAACCUUGGACCUGGCUGAUCUGUCCUCCUAAUCGAGCGUACGGAUUCGGUCGGGUCUUUCCUUCUGGGGAACCCUAUGUCCUUCAUUGGGUGUAGUGGGGAACCAGGACUUUUACCUUGAAAAAAUUAGAGUGUUCAAAGCAGGCCUUUGCUCGAAUACAUUAGCAUGGAAUAAUAGAAUAGGACAUCGGUUCUAUUUUGUUGGUUUCUAGGACCGCUGUAAUGAUUAAUAGGGAUAGUCGGGGGCGUCCGUAUUCAAUUGUCAGAGGUGAAAUUCUUGGAUUUAUUGAAGACGAACUACUGCGAAAGCAUUCGCCAAGGAUGUUUUCAUUAAUCAGUGAACGAAAGUUAGGGGAUCGAAGACGAUCAGAUACCGUCGUAGUCUUAACCAUAAACUAUGCCGACUAGGGAUCUGACGGUGGUUUUUUUAUGCCCCGUUCGGCACCU